Phascolarctos cinereus (koala) is the source of this 590-nucleotide non-coding RNA. The record is from RefSeq and is a predicted model, not a curated record. Lineage: Eukaryota; Metazoa; Chordata; Mammalia; Diprotodontia; Phascolarctidae.
AUCUAUACUACAUAGCUCCAUCCUUACCAUCCCAUCUUAUCCCGGGCAUGGUGAGCCUCACUUUACACGGAUCAAAUAAUACUUCCAUUCUCUGUACAUGAAGACACAAAGGGAGACGAUGCCAACAAGAAAGCGAAAUGUGAUUUUUCUAAAGAGACCAACGAAGACCGCCAGUGACUGUCCGUAUGCAGCCCUCUCCACGUCUGUCUAACCCUUCCAGGCCCAGGAGGGCACAGGUCUGGAUAGCAGAACAAAGCUAGAGACAACUCAGGUGACCUUGACCACCACGGGAGGCGCCCCAGGGCACGAGCUGGAACUAAUCACUCUGGAGAACAAACAGAACUGGACCAGUUUAUGUGCUCGAAGCCCGCUUGAGGAUCGUAGCCUUACAAAUGGAGAAGAUAUGUGGAGAGUCACCGAACAAAUGACUCCCUCUCCUUCCCAAGAGCAACGCGUUUAAGUUUUUAGAUGAACAACUUCACUUUACGAAUAAAAAAUCUGAUUUCCCUCAAUCUUUUGCCAAGCCAUUUACAGCUUCUAAAAAGCUCUUCUAUGCAACAAUGGGCUGACAAAUUUUUUUAGCAGUUUAA